CCCUUAGAUGUUCUGGGCCGCACGCGCGCUACACUGAUGCAUUCAACGAGCCUAUCCUUGACCGACAGGUCCGGGUAAUCUUUGAAUCUGCAUCGUGACGGGGAUAGAUUAUUGCAAUUAUUAAUCUUCAACGAGGAAUGCCUAGUAGGCGCAAGUCAUCAGAUUGCGUCGAUUACGUCCCUGCCCUUUGUACACACCGCCCGUCGCUCCUACCGAUUGGGUGUGCUGGUGAAAUGUUCGGAUCGGCCGUUUGUCGCGGUUUCCGCGUCAUGUGGCUGAGAAGUUCAUUAAACCCUCCCACCUAGAGGAAGGAGAAGUCGUAACA
This 325-nucleotide ribosomal RNA is filed under the name uncultured eukaryote. Its description in RNAcentral is "partial 18S ribosomal RNA". It matches the Rfam family "Eukaryotic small subunit ribosomal RNA", at positions 1470 to 1796 of the family's 1831-position model. The record is from RNAcentral.